Molecule: long non-coding RNA, 367 nt
Filed under: Mus spicilegus (steppe mouse)
Lineage: Eukaryota; Metazoa; Chordata; Mammalia; Rodentia; Muridae
Description: lncRNA (ENSMSIG00000002636.1)
Source: RNAcentral
GGAGCUCUGAGCUUCCCAAAAUGUGGGCUUCUUGGGAAACUUGUAGUGAGAAUUCUGAAGAUGUGCACAGUGAAAAAUAUCGGGCAAGGCCAAACAUCCAGUUGAGGUGCUGAGAAGCAUAAGAAGAGCUGUGGUGAGCUACUUCUUGUGGAAUCAGAGUAUUAAGAAAUCCCGGGAAAACUUGUCAAAAAGAAAAUGAUCGAGGCUUUUCCUGCCCCGAGGCUAUCUCAAGGGAGGAAGAAGAGGGUAUAUGGAAGCCUGCCUCCAGAAGACUGGUGAGAACAGAAGGGUUGGCCAGCCCCAGGACAGCCCUCAAGCUGGAGAAACGGAGGCUGAGACAGAGUUUUGAGACGUGUCUGUGAGAGCG